Molecule: long non-coding RNA, 1270 nt
Organism: Dreissena polymorpha
Lineage: Eukaryota; Metazoa; Mollusca; Bivalvia; Myida; Dreissenidae
Exons: 2
Source: RefSeq, a predicted model, not a curated record
UUCGAUUUUUAUACGCCCGUCUAUGACGGGACGUAUUAUGGUAUACCCCGCGUCCGUCUGUCCGUCCGUCUGUCCGUCCGUCUGUCCGUCCGUCUGUCCGUCCGUCCGUCCGUCCGUCCGUCUGUUAAUGUCGUACGCUACGUCAAAUAUCCUUUGACAGAUUUUCUUCAAAUUUUAACACAAUCUUAAUAUUGAUAAACCCUGAUCCCCUUUCGUUUUUGACGGAAUUCUGAAUUGUCGUUCCAGAGUUAUGGGACUUUGUUCGUCAAAAUUUCGUGAUUUCAUUGAAUGUCCUACUGUAGCUCAAAUAUCCUUCGAUGGAUUUUUUUCAAAUUUCAACACAAUCUUAAUAUUGAUAAACCCUGAUCCCCUUUCGUUUUUGACGGAAUUCUGAAUUGUCGUUCCAGAGUUAUGGGACUUUGUUCGUCAAAAUUUCGUGAUUUCAUUGAAUGUCCUACUGUAGCUAUAUAAAAAUGUUAAAGUUGUUAUAACUUUGGUAUGCUUGGACCUAGAGUCUUGAAACUUGACAUGAAGGUUGGCCAGAACUAGUAAGUAACCACUGGACAUUUCAAGGUCAUUCAUUUGAAGGUCAAGGUCACUGUGACCUUGAAUGUAAAAAUGUUAAAGUUCUUAUUUCAUGUUAUAACUUUGGUAUGCUUGUACCUAGAGUCUUCAAACUUGAAAUAAAGAUUGGCCAGUACUAGAAGAUGACCACUGGUCAUUUCAAUGUCAUUCAUUUGAAGGUCAAGGUCACUGUGACCUUAAAUGUUAAAAUGUUAAAAUUGUUUAUAACUUUGGUAUGCUUGGACAUAGAGUCUUCAAACUUGACAUGAAGGUUUGCAAGCACACUUAGAUGACCACUGGUCAUUUCAAGGUCAUUCAUUCUAAGGUCAAGGUCACUGUGACCUUAAAUGUUAUUGUUGUUCAUGUAUCCUACCGUAGCUCAAAUAUCCCCCGAUGGAUUUUUUAUACGCCCGUCUAUGACGGGACGUAUUAUGGUAUACCCCGCGUCCGUCUGUCCGUCCGUCCGUCCGUCCGUCCGUCUGUUAAUGUCGUACGCUACGUCAAAUAUCCUUUGACAGAUUUUCUUCAAAUUUUAACACAAUCUUAAUAUUGAUAAACCCUGAUCCCCUUUCGUUUUUGACGGAAUUCUGAAUUGUCGUUCCAGAGUUAUGGGACUUUGUUCGUCAAAAUUUCGUGAUUUCCAUGCUCAUGUACUUAUAAAAUAAACCAUGUAUUCAAAUACAAAUAAACUGAAGUAAAAAAAUGA